Molecule: ribosomal RNA, 468 nt
Filed under: uncultured bacterium
Lineage: Bacteria
Description: partial 16S ribosomal RNA
Rfam family: Bacterial small subunit ribosomal RNA
Source: RNAcentral
GACGAACGCUGGCGGCGUGCUUAACACAUGCAAGUCGAACGGAAAGGCCCUGCUUUUGUGGGGUGCUCGAGUGGCGAACGGGUGAGUAACACGUGAGUAACCUGCCCUUGACUUUGGGAUAACUUCAGGAAACUGGGGCUAAUACCGGAUAGGAGCUCCUGCUGCAUGGUGUGGGUUGGAAAGUUUCGGCGGGUGGGGAUGGACUCGCGGCUUAUCAGCUCGUUGGUGUGGUAGUUGCUUAGCAAGGCUUUGACGGGUAGCCGGCCUGAGAGGGUGACCGGCCACAUUGGGACUGAGAUACGGGCCAGACUCCUACGGGAGGCAGCAGUGGGAAAUAUUGCACACUGGGCGGAAGCCUGAUGCAGCAACGCCGCGUGCGGGAUGACGGCCUUAGGGUUGUAAACCGCUUUCGCCUGUGACGAAGCGUGAGUGACGGUAAUGGGUAAAGAAGCACCGGCUAACUACGUG